RNAcentral lists this ribosomal RNA (301 nucleotides) under uncultured bacterium. Its description in RNAcentral is "partial 16S ribosomal RNA". It matches the Rfam family "Bacterial small subunit ribosomal RNA", at positions 509 to 807 of the family's 1533-position model. The record is from RNAcentral.
CAGUCGCCGCGGGAAUACAGAGGGUGCGAGCGUUAAUCGGAUUUACUGGGCGUAAAGCGUGCGUAGGCGGCUUUUUAAGUCGGAUGUGAAAUCCCUGAGCUUAACUUAGGAAUUGCAUUCGAUACUGGGAAGCUAGAGUAUGGGAGAGGAUGGUAGAAUUCCAGGUGUAGCGGUGAAAUGCGUAGAGAUCGGAAGGAACAUCUGUGGCGAAGGCGACUAUCUGGGCCAACACUGACACUGAGGCACGAAAGCGUGGGGAGCAAACAGGAUUAGAUACCCCCGUAGUCCCUGUCUCUUAUAC